RNAcentral lists this ribosomal RNA (403 nucleotides) under uncultured bacterium. RNAcentral's name for it is "bacterial SSU rRNA". It matches the Rfam family "Bacterial small subunit ribosomal RNA", at positions 29 to 477 of the family's 1533-position model. The record is from RNAcentral.
AACGAACGCUGGCGGCAUGCCUAACACAUGCAAGUCGAGCGCCCGUAGCAAUACGGGAGCGGCGCACGGAUGAGUAACGCGUGGGAACCUGCCCAGAGGUCUGGGACAACCGCGGGAAACUGCGGCUGAUACCGGAUGAUUCCUGAGGGACAAAGAUUUAUUGCCUUUGGAGGGGCCCGCGUCGGAUUAGGUAGUUGGUGGGGUAACGGCUCACCAAGCCUAUGAUCCGUAACUGGUCUGAGAGGAUGACCAGUCACACUGGGACUGAGACACGGCCCAGACUCCUACGGGAGGCAGCAGUGGGGAGUAUUGGACAAUGGGGGGCAACCCUGAUCCAGCAAUGCCGCGUGGGUGAUGAAGGCCUCGGUUGUAAGCCUUUCGGCGGGGACGGAUGAUGACGGUA